Long non-coding RNA from Zea mays, 678 nucleotides. RefSeq lists it as uncharacterized. NCBI's taxonomy places the organism in Eukaryota, Viridiplantae, Streptophyta, Magnoliopsida, Poales, Poaceae. The transcript is spliced from 3 exons. The record is from RefSeq and is a predicted model, not a curated record.
UCGGCACUCACGAUGGCCUUGGACACAAUCCUGAGCAACAAGAUGUUGAAAUACUAUUUGGACCUGGCUAUACUGGUCUUGCGGAUCUUGGGAAUAGUUGAUAUAUGGCUUCAAUAAUGCAAGUCAUGUUUUUAACCCACCAUUCCAUAUCAAGAUACUUUGAGAAACAGAGUUUGAAAGCUGCAUUUGCUACUGCACUAGCUGAUCCAACAGUAGACCUAAACAUGCAAAUGUAAGUUGUCUUGCUGAAUUACCAAAUCUAAACUGCACUUGGAGUAAGUCAUGUAUGGAUUUCUAUUCCAAAUGUCUUCACUGCUAAUGAUGCUUGUUUUAGAAAUGUAGUGUGAAUGACAAUGAAACUAACCCCACUUGCUGAUGAUGUAGCAAUCAUCAUUCUGGCUAGCAUGCACCCAAGGUUGACCAAACUGAUUCGACAGUUUUGGGAUGAGAUCAUAACGUUCGUCCGACUUUUGCAGAGAUCAUUACAGAACUCCAAGAUAUUCUACACCAUAUCUAGGUAGCAUGAUCCGCUAUAAUACUGAACAACUCUUAUAUGUGUCUAGGUGUGAUAAUAAGGGAAUAAAGUUGUAGCUAAUAUGAUUUCUUAGGAGCCACUUGCCAUGUCCUUUUUGUUUAAUACAAUAACUUGGCCUAAGCGUAUAUUGUUUUUAACAGGCA